GACGAACGCUGGCGGCGUGCUUAACACAUGCAAGUCGAGCGGUAAGGCCCUUUCGGGGGUACGACGAGCGGCGAACGGGUGAGUAACACGUGGGUGACCUGCCCUCAGCUCUGGGAUAAGCCCGGGAAACUGGGUCUAAUACCGGAUAUGACUCCAUGACGCAUGUUGUGGGGUGGAAAGCCCUGUGCGGCUGAGGAUGGGCCCGCGGCCUAUCAGCUUGUUGGUGGGGUGAUGGCCACCAAGGCGACGACGGGUAGCCGGCCUGAGAGGGCGACCGGCCACACUGGGACUGAGAUACGGCCCAGACUCCUACGGGAGGCAGCAGUGGGGAAUCUUGCGCAAUGGGCGAAAGCCUGACGCAGCGACGCCGCGUGAGGGAUGACGGCCUCGUGUA
RNAcentral lists this ribosomal RNA (394 nucleotides) under uncultured bacterium. RNAcentral describes it as "bacterial SSU rRNA". It matches the Rfam family "Bacterial small subunit ribosomal RNA", at positions 28 to 427 of the family's 1533-position model. The record is from RNAcentral.